This 371-nucleotide ribosomal RNA is filed under the name uncultured bacterium. RNAcentral describes it as "bacterial SSU rRNA". It matches the Rfam family "Bacterial small subunit ribosomal RNA", at positions 527 to 896 of the family's 1533-position model. The record is from RNAcentral.
GAAGGGUGCAAGCGUUACUCGGAAUUACUGGGCGUAAAGCGUGCGUAGGUGGUUCGUUAAGUCUGUCGUGAAAGCCCCGGGCUCAACCUGGGAAUGGCGAUGGAUACUGGCGGGCUAGAGUGCGGUAGAGGGUGGUGGAAUUCCCGGUGUAGCAGUGAAAUGCGUAGAGAUCGGGAGGAACAUCAGUUGCGAAGGCGGCCACCUGGACCAGCACUGACACUGAGGCACGAAAGCGUGGGGAGCAAACAGGAUUAGAUACCCUGGUAGUCCACGCCCUAAACGAUGCGGACUGGACGUUGGGAGCAACUAGGCUCUCAGUGUCGAAGCUAACGCGUUAAGUCCGCCGCCUGGGGAGUACGGUCGCAAGACUG